This is a long non-coding RNA of Marmota monax (woodchuck), 637 nucleotides long. RefSeq lists it as uncharacterized. The record is from RefSeq and is a predicted model, not a curated record. Lineage: Eukaryota; Metazoa; Chordata; Mammalia; Rodentia; Sciuridae. The transcript has 3 exons.
CCCGCCUCCUCCCGCCAUCCCGUCCGAUCGCCGUGCGCCCUCCCCGCCUUCCCGGCUGGGCCGCUUCCUCGGCUGUGACGCCGAUGGGUCACGCACUACGCCCGAGCCGGAAGCGGGACCGGCAGUCCCGGCUCCAGCGGCCAUGAUACGGACGGUGUUUCAAGCCGCCCGAGGGCUUCUGGGAGGGAAAGGACCGGGGGCCCCAGCCCCCCUUCCGGCCCCCGUAGUUCUCGAAGUACCCGCCGCAAUGCCUGCUGGGGCUUGAAGUCCGCACCACCGAGACCUGGGAGCUCCUCUCCAAACUUAAGAAUUCGAUGCUGGAGACGUGGGACUCAGUAAAGAUACUGAAAAGUCACAAGAGCAAGGAGCAAUUCCUAGGGAACUCACAGGAACAGUGGAGUGCUCAGAGUGCAGGGGAUCAAACCCAGGAUCUUGGGCAUGUGAGACAAGCACUGAUAUCUGAACAUUCCUAAGAUAUGUCCUUAAGUUAAAAAAAGCAAGAUGCAGAACUGUAAGUUGUUUGUUAUCUUUUAUAUUAAAUAGAAAUAUUAACUUGCAUUUGCAAAAACAAACUCAGGAAAGAUAUAUACACAAUUAAUAAAAUUGAUUAUCUGGGUGGGUGAGUGAAAGGGAUGGA